This 543-nucleotide ribosomal RNA is filed under the name Bembras japonica (red flathead). Its description in RNAcentral is "partial 16S large subunit ribosomal RNA". It matches the Rfam family "Bacterial large subunit ribosomal RNA", at positions 1846 to 2586 of the family's 2925-position model. The record is from RNAcentral. Lineage: Eukaryota; Metazoa; Chordata; Actinopteri; Perciformes; Bembridae.
UAAGAGGUCCCGCCUGCCCUGUGACUCUUAGUUUAACGGCCGCGGUAUUUUGACCGUGCGAAGGUAGCGCAAUCACUUGUCUUUUAAAUGGAGACCUGUAUGAAUGGCACGACGAGGGCUUGACUGUCUCCUCUUUCAAGUCAAUGAAAUUGAUCUUCCCGUGCAGAAGCGGGAAUGACCUCAUAAGACGAGAAGACCCUGUGGAGCUUUAGACACCAAGGCGAAUCAUGUUAAAUACCCCCGGACAAGGGACUAAACCAGAUGAGUCCCGCCCUAAUGUCUUUGGUUGGGGCGACCGCGGGGAAACAAAAAACCCCCACGUGGAAUGGGAACACCCCCCUCCUACAAUUAAGAGCUACAGCUCUAAACAACAGAACUUCUGACCAGCAAGAUCCGGAAAUACCGAUCAACGAACCGAGUUACCCCAGGGAUAACAGCGCAAUCCCCUUUUAGAGCCCGUAUCAACAAGGGGGUUUACGACCUCGAUGUUGGAUCAGGACAUCCUAAUGGUGCAGCCGCUAUUAAGGGUUCGUUUGUUCAACG